This 401-nucleotide ribosomal RNA is filed under the name uncultured bacterium. RNAcentral's name for it is "partial 16S ribosomal RNA". It matches the Rfam family "Archaeal small subunit ribosomal RNA", at positions 473 to 873 of the family's 1478-position model. The record is from RNAcentral.
ACACCGGCGGCCCGAGUGGUGAUCGUGAUUAUUGGGUCUAAAGGGUCCGUAGUCGGUUUGGUCAGUCCUCCGGGAAAUCUGAUAGCUCAACUAUUAGGCUUUCGGGGGAUACUGCCAGACUUGGAACCGGGAGAGGUAAGAGGUACUACAGGGGUAGGAGUGAAAUCUUGUAAUCCCUGUGGGACCACCUGUGGCGAAGGCGGCUGACCGGAACGGGUUCGACGGUGAGGGACGAAAGCUGGGGGCACGAACCGGUUUAGAUCCCCGGGUAGUCCCAGCCGUAAACGAUGCUCGCUAGGUGUCAGGCAUGGCGCGACCGUGUCUGGUGCCGCAGGGAAGCCGUGAAGCGAGCCACCUGGGAAGUACGGCCGCAAGGCUGAAACUUAAAGGAAUUGACGGGG